This 468-nucleotide ribosomal RNA is filed under the name uncultured bacterium. RNAcentral's name for it is "partial 16S ribosomal RNA". It matches the Rfam family "Bacterial small subunit ribosomal RNA", at positions 28 to 507 of the family's 1533-position model. The record is from RNAcentral.
GACGAACGCUGGCGGCGUGCUUAACACAUGCAAGUCGAACGGAAAGUCCCUGCUUUUGUGGGGUGCUCGUGUUGCGAACGGGUGAGUAACACGUGAGUAACCUGCCCUUGACUUUGGUAUAACUUCAGGAAACUUGGGCUAUUACCGGAUAGGAUCUCCUGCUGCAUGGUGGGGGUUGGAUAGUUUCGGCGGUUGGGGAUGGACUCGCGGCUUAUCAGCUUGUUGGUUGGGUAGUGGCUUACCAAGGCUUUGACGGGUAGCCGGACUGAGAGGGUGACCGGCCAAAAUGGGACUGAGAUACGGACCAGACUGCUACGGGAGGCAGAAGUGGGGAAAAUUGCACAAUGGGCGGAAGCGUGAUGCAGAAACGCCGCGGGCGGGAUGACGGCCUUCGGGUUGUAAACCGAAUUCGCCUGUGACGAAGAGUGAGUGACGGUAAUGGGUAAAGAAGCACCGGCUAACUACGUG